This 1070-nucleotide ribosomal RNA is filed under the name uncultured eukaryote. RNAcentral's name for it is "SSU rRNA". It matches the Rfam family "Eukaryotic small subunit ribosomal RNA", at positions 625 to 1712 of the family's 1831-position model. The record is from RNAcentral.
AGCUCGUAGUUGGAUUUCUGUGGGGGCGGAGCGGCCGGCCGCAACUUGCGGUUCGAGCUAGCGCUUCCCCUACAUCCUGCCGCGAACCGUGCUACCAUUAGUUUGGUGGCGCCGGGGAUCGGCUCGUUUACUUUGAGAAAAAUAGAGUGUUCAAAGCAGGCCACACGCCUUGAAUAAGUUAGCAUGGAAUAAUAAUAAAGGACUUCGGUUCUAUUUUGUUGGUGUUCGGGACUGAAGUAAUGAUUGAUAGGGACAGUUGGGGCGGUCAGUAUUCCAAAGCGAGAGGUGAAAUUCUUAGACCUUCGGAAGACUAACAGCUGCGAAAGCGUUCCGCAAGGAUGUUCCCUUUGAUCAAGAACGAAAGUUGGGGGAUCGAAGACGAUCAGAUACCGUCGUAGUCUCAACUAUAAACUAUACCAGCUAGGGAUCGGCCAACGUUAAAUUAUUCGACUUGGUCGGCACCUUAUGAGAAAUCAAAGCAUCUGGGUUCCGGGGGGAGUAUGGUCGCAAGGCUGAAACUUAAAGGAAUUGACGGAAGAGCACCACCAGCCGUGGAGCCUGUGGCUUAAUUUGACUCAACACGGGAAAACUUACCAGGUCCAGACACAGUAAGGAUUGACAGAUUGAUAGCCCUUUCUUGAUUCUGUGGGUGGUGGUGCAUGGCCGUUCUUAGUUGGUGGAGUGAUUUGUCUGGUUAAUUCCGUUAACGAACGAGACCCCAGCCUGCUAAAUAGCGCGGUUGAGCUUUGCUCGGCGCGAGCUUCUUAGAGGGACUAUGAUGCGCGAUAGCACAUGGAAGUUUGGGGCAAUAACAGGUCUGUGAUGCCCUUAGAUGUUCUGGGCCGCACACGGGCUACACUGGCGCCUGCAACGAGCAUAUCAGCUGGCCCGAGAGGGUCUUGGCUAAUCUUUUGAACCGGCGCCGUGCUUGGGAUUGACCAUUGCAAUUGUUGGUCAUGCAACGAGGAAUGCCUUGUAAACGCGAGUCAUCAACUCGCAUUGAAUACGUCCCUGCCCUUUGUACACACCGCCCGUCGCUCCUACCGAUGAAUGUUCCGAUGAAAUUUCCG